RNAcentral lists this ribosomal RNA (691 nucleotides) under Enterobacter hormaechei. RNAcentral's name for it is "partial 23S ribosomal RNA". It matches the Rfam family "Bacterial large subunit ribosomal RNA", at positions 2240 to 2925 of the family's 2925-position model. The record is from RNAcentral. RNAcentral also lists the same sequence under 11 other names. Lineage: Bacteria; Pseudomonadati; Pseudomonadota; Gammaproteobacteria; Enterobacterales; Enterobacteriaceae.
CCGGGUUGCGGACAGUGUCUGGUGGGUAGUUUGACUGGGGCGGUCUCCUCCCAAAGAGUAACGGAGGAGCACGAAGGUUGGCUAAUCCUGGUCGGACAUCAGGAGGUUAGUGCAAUGGCAUAAGCCAGCUUGACUGCGAGCGUGACGGCGCGAGCAGGUGCGAAAGCAGGUCAUAGUGAUCCGGUGGUUCUGAAUGGAAGGGCCAUCGCUCAACGGAUAAAAGGUACUCCGGGGAUAACAGGCUGAUACCGCCCAAGAGUUCAUAUCGACGGCGGUGUUUGGCACCUCGAUGUCGGCUCAUCACAUCCUGGGGCUGAAGUAGGUCCCAAGGGUAUGGCUGUUCGCCAUUUAAAGUGGUACGCGAGCUGGGUUUAGAACGUCGUGAGACAGUUCGGUCCCUAUCUGCCGUGGGCGCUGGAGAAUUGAGGGGGGCUGCUCCUAGUACGAGAGGACCGGAGUGGACGCAUCACUGGUGUUCGGGUUGUCAUGCCAAUGGCACUGCCCGGUAGCUAAAUGCGGAAGAGAUAAGUGCUGAAAGCAUCUAAGCACGAAACUUGCCCCGAGAUGAGUUCUCCCUGAGACUUUAAGUCUCCUGAAGGAACGUUGAAGACGACGACGUUGAUAGGUCGGGUGUGUAAGCGCAGCGAUGCGUUGAGCUAACCGAUACUAAUGAACCGUGAGGCUUAACCUU